This is a long non-coding RNA of Oncorhynchus keta (chum salmon), 282 nucleotides long. RefSeq lists it as uncharacterized. The record is from RefSeq and is a predicted model, not a curated record. The transcript has 3 exons. NCBI's taxonomy places the organism in Eukaryota, Metazoa, Chordata, Actinopteri, Salmoniformes, Salmonidae.
CCCCCAGGACACAGUGCUGGUCCAGUCAGCAAUAAGAGGACAUCUCCUCAGACAGAGCCAGAUAGCUCACCUCCGAGACACACACACCAGCACUCUCAGCAAGAAUGGCCAAUCACAGCGGCACUGAUGUUACCUCCCUGUGGAGGAUGGGGAGCUGGUUGCCGUGACGCUGAUCCAGUCUGUGUUCCGAGGUCACCUGACACGCAGCGCACUAAUGACGGAGAGCUCUGAGUCUCCAGCCUCUCCUCCCUGUGGACCCACACCAGCUCCUAGAAGAGUCCC